Small nuclear RNA from Myotis lucifugus (little brown bat), 160 nucleotides. Its record names the gene U2. It matches the Rfam family "U2 spliceosomal RNA". From Rfam's summary of the family: U2 is a small nuclear RNA (snRNA) component of the spliceosome (involved in pre-mRNA splicing). NCBI's taxonomy places the organism in Eukaryota, Metazoa, Chordata, Mammalia, Chiroptera, Vespertilionidae. The record is from Ensembl.
AUCGCUUCUCGGCCUUUUGGCUAAGAUCAAGUAUAGUAUCUGUUCUUAUCAGUUUAAUUUGUCUUUCCUAUUGGAUACUUUCCCAAAAGUAUAGGUUUUAUAUGUUAGAUUUCUGUCUAAGCUGCUAUAACAGUUUCCCAAAACCCUAGCUUCAAUAUAG